CGCUCUUUGAAAAUUAUUAAUAAAGAGUCGUGCCUGCCCAGUGAAAUUUUAAACGGCCGCAGUACCCUGACUGUGCUAAGGUAGCAUAAUAACUUGUUUUUUAAUUGAAAGCUUGUAUGAAUGGCUUGACGUGGGCAAGACUGUCUCUAUUACAUUAAAUAAAAAUUAAUUUUUAAGUGAAGAAGCUUAAAUAAUCUCAAAAGACGAAAAGACCCUAUCGAGCUUUAAAUUUAUGUAUAAAUAAAAUCUUUUAGAAAAACAAAAUUUAUAUUCCAUUUUUAGUUGGGGCGACAAAAGAACAAAUAAAGCUUCUUUUUAUUAUGUAAAUUUAUAAAUUUAUAGAGCCAUAAAUUAUGAUUAAAAGAAAAAGCUACCGUAGGGAUAACAGCGUUAUUUUUUCAGAGAGUCCUAAUCGAAGAAAAAGUUUGCGACCUCGAUGUUGGAUUAAAGUAACUUUUAAGUGCAGAAGCUUAAAAUAAGUGGGUCUGUUCGACCCUUAAACCUUUACA
RNAcentral lists this ribosomal RNA (509 nucleotides) under Katharina tunicata (black chiton). RNAcentral's name for it is "partial 16S ribosomal RNA". It matches the Rfam family "Bacterial large subunit ribosomal RNA", at positions 1817 to 2600 of the family's 2925-position model. The record is from RNAcentral. Lineage: Eukaryota; Metazoa; Mollusca; Polyplacophora; Chitonida; Mopaliidae.